Molecule: ribosomal RNA, 497 nt
Filed under: uncultured bacterium
Lineage: Bacteria
Description: bacterial SSU rRNA
Rfam family: Bacterial small subunit ribosomal RNA
Source: RNAcentral
UGAACGCGUAGCGGCAGGCUUAACACAUGCAAGUCGAGGGGCAUCGGGAGUAGCAAUACUUGCCGGCGACCGGCGCAAGGGUGCGUAACGCGUGAGCAACAUGCCCGUAUCAGGGGGAUAAUCCAUGGAAACGUGGUCCUAAUACCCAUAGUAAUUAUGUAAGGCAUCUUAUAUAAGUUUAAAGCUUUGGUGGAUACGGAUUGGCUCGCGUGACAUUAGCUGGAUGGUAAGGUAACGGCUUACCAUGGCUACGAUGUCUAGGGGUUCUGAGAGGAAGGUCCCCCCACACUGGAACUGAGACACGGUCCAGACUCCUACGGGAGGCAGCAGUGAGGAAUAUUGGACAAUGGAUGGAAAUCUGAUCCAGCCAUGCCGCGUGCAGGAAAGACGGCCCUAUGGGUUGUAAACUGCUUUUGUAUGGGAGCAAUAAGGGCUACGUGUAGUCCGAUGAGAGUACCAUACGAAUAAGCACCGGCUAACUCCGUGCCAGCCGCAGC